Dama dama (fallow deer) is the source of this 922-nucleotide long non-coding RNA. RefSeq lists it as uncharacterized. The transcript is spliced from 2 exons. The record is from RefSeq and is a predicted model, not a curated record. NCBI's taxonomy places the organism in Eukaryota, Metazoa, Chordata, Mammalia, Artiodactyla, Cervidae.
GUCAAAAUUAGGAGAAAAAAGUUGUUUUUGGAGGCCGAGCGAUAGCUACUCUUCAAACCACUACUAAUAUUGCUUAGGAGAGCAGGCCAGGGAGGAAAAAGCACCUCAAUUAUGUACAAAUUGGAGACAAUAAGUCGAUUCUUAUGAUUUAAAAAAAAAAAUUGCAAAAAUCAAACCACGAGCUUCUCCAGUGAAUAGAUUCCUCAGGGGGUGGGCAUCUCUCACUCACUGGCGGACCAGAGAUGCUGCUAAUCUGACCACAUUUCAGCAGACACCUGAGCACCUACUCCAGGGAAAAGCCCCAGGGAGGCACAGAAAGAAGCAAAGCUCACGCUCCCAGCAGAUCCAUCAGGGCCUCCUGUAGAUAUUCCCCAUCUCAGGACAUCUGCUUCUCUCCUUCAUAGGGAAGAAGGCAGAUAUCAGGGAUCAUCAAGGAAAUAUCCCCCUACCUCUCAUCCUUCUCCUGAGACACCAGGCGAGACUUUUCAAGCAGGUACUUUUCGACAACCGCUCUGUCAUCAAGCAGAAAAAGAAGAACCAAGUGUUACACGUUAAUGUUGUGUUCCGGAAGAACAAGAAUGAUUCAUGACUGUGGUAAAGCCAGCUGCGGAUUAACAACCUUGGACCCAAGAGAUGAGAUCCUCCUCCAUGGUCCAGAUGGGCCCUGAAUCCAAGGACAAGUAUCCCAGAAGACAGAAGAGGAGAUCAUAGAGAAAUUCAGGGGAGAAGACCGGGUGGAGACUGAAGCAAAGACUGGGGUGAUGUGGCUACAAGCCAAGGGAACCUGGGGCCCCUGGAAGCUGGAAAAGGCCAGGAAGGAUCCUCGCCUAGAGCCUCUGGAGGGAGCAUGGCCCUUCCCACACCUUGAUCUUGCACUUCUGGCCUCCAGAACCACGAGAGAAUAAACCCUUACUGUUGUGUG